RNAcentral lists this unclassified non-coding RNA (357 nucleotides) under fungal sp. Its description in RNAcentral is "partial internal transcribed spacer region". The stretch from base 1 to 46 matches the Rfam family "Eukaryotic small subunit ribosomal RNA", at positions 1786 to 1831 of the family's 1831-position model. Lineage: Eukaryota; Fungi. The record is from RNAcentral.
AAGUCGUAACAAGGUUUCCGUAGGUGAACCUGCGGAAGGAUCAUUAAAAAAUAUAGAAUUAAUUUUCUAUAAACCCAAUCUGUGUAUUCGUGCGCGGUGGAUGAAUGGGCGGCGUGCCCACCCACGUUUUGUCGGCUGGCAGGGGACCAUUUCCUAAUAGUGUGACUGUCGUACAGUUGAAGUGUGCCUCGUGCUACUUUGACCGCGAUCCGAUGCUCACAUGGGCUUGAGACUGCAACCUGAUUUUUACAUACGAAGUGUACUGAUGAAACUCAAUCGCUAGCAAUGGCCAUUGGGGAACAAUAGUUAAUAACUAACUAUUCGAUACAACUCUUAGCAACGGAUAUCUCGGCUGAC